Molecule: ribosomal RNA, 498 nt
Filed under: uncultured bacterium
Lineage: Bacteria
Description: partial 16S ribosomal RNA
Rfam family: Bacterial small subunit ribosomal RNA
Source: RNAcentral
AUUGAACGCUGGCGGCAUGCCUUACACAUGCAAGUCGAACGGUAACAGGUCUUCGGAUGCUGACGAGUGGCGAACGGGUGAGUAAUACAUCGGAACGUGCCUAGUAGUGGGGGAUAACUACUCGAAAGAGUGGCUAAUACCGCAUGAGAUCUACGGAUGAAAGCAGGGGAUCGCAAGACCUUGUGCUACUAGAGCGGCCGAUGGCAGAUUAGGUAGUUGGUGGGAUAAAAGCUUACCAAGCCGACGAUCCGUAGCUGGUCUGAGAGGACGAUCAGCCACACUGGGACUGAGACACGGCCCAGACUCCUACGGGAGGCAGCAGUGGGGAAUUUUGGACAAUGGGCGCAGGCCUGAUCCAGCAAUGCCGCGUGCAGGAUGAAGGCCUUCGGGUUGUAAACUGCUUUUGUACGGAGCGAAAAGCCCCGGGUUAAUACCCUGGGGUCAUGACGGUACCGUAAGAAUAAGCACCGGCUAACUACGUGCCAGCCGCCGCAGUAA